Motacilla alba alba is the source of this 5487-nucleotide RNA transcript. It is a transcript of the gene named tectonin beta-propeller repeat containing 2, with no coding region annotated. Lineage: Eukaryota; Metazoa; Chordata; Aves; Passeriformes; Motacillidae. The record is from RefSeq and is a predicted model, not a curated record. The transcript has 20 exons.
GCUCACGUCCGGCCCCGCCCAGCCCGGCCCCCGAGCGGCGCAGGCACCGGGGCCGCCGCCGCUCCGCCGCCUCGGGGCUCGGCGACGCCGCUCCCUGCCGCCCUCCCUGAGCCGCAGCCCGCGCCCCGGAGCGGACAGCUGCUUAGCACAAGCUGAUUUGCCCUAUAUGACUGUUACGUACUUCAGAAUAACUGUGGCUGACGCAGACAGAACACAUGCAUCCACUUCCAAAAUCUGCCUGAGAAAAUAGAUUAUAUCUGCUGUUUGCCUUUGAUUAAUGAGAUUUCCUUAUGCGGUCAUGUAGGUGUGUUUAUUUCAGCCUUAAAAUUGCUGAUGCAAAUCCUUGCUAUGGCAUCUGUGGCUUCACCAGUUAUAUUUAAGGAAUUUUGUCCCUUGUAUUAUCUCCUCAAUGCCAUUCCUACAAAGAUCCAGAAAGGCUUUCGCUCUAUUGUGGUUUACCUCACAGCACUUGAUACCAAUGGAGACUACAUUGCUGUGGGGAGCAGCAUUGGAAUGCUUUAUCUCUACUGCAGACAUGUAAACCAGAUGAAAAAAUAUAAUUUUGAGGGAAGGUGUGAAUCUAUAACUUUUGUAAAGCUGUUGAGUUGUUUUGAUGAUCUGGUUGCUGUUGGUACAGCCUCAGGUCGGGUUGCAGUUUUCCAGCUUGUGUCUUCGUUACCUGGAAGGAACAAACAGCUUCGCAGGUUUGAUGUUGCUGGCAUCCACAAAAGCAGCAUUACAGCUUUAGCUUGGAGUCCCAAUGGAAUGAAAUUAUUCUCUGGAGAUGACAAAGGAAAAAUUGUCUACUCUGCACUAGACCUAGACCAGGGUAUUUGCAACUCCAGCCUUGUACUGGAAGAGCCAUCUUCGAUUGUCCAGUUGGAUUACAACCAGAAGGUGCUGCUUGUCUCUACUUUACAGCGGACUCUGCUUUUUUACACAGAAGAGAAAUCCGUCAACCAAGUUGGAACACAGCCCAGAAAAAACACUGGCAAAUUUGGAGCAUGUUUUAUACCUGGCCUGUGUAAACAGAGUGACUUGACACUAUUUGCUGCCAGACCUGGGCUUCGUCUGUGGAAGUCUGAUGUUCAUGGGACUGUUCAGGCCACAUUCAUAUUGAAAGAUGUAUUUGCUGGAGGAAUAAAAACUUUUGAACUGUAUCCUCGUUUAGAACCACCUGACAGAGGAAGUUACAGCUCUCCAGAGAAACACCUUGGGCUUGUGUCAUGCUUUUUCCAAGAAGGAUGGGUGCUGACCUGGAACGAAUACAGCAUCUAUUUACUAGACACUGUGAACCAGGCUUUGAUUGGUGGCUUGGAAGGAUACGGUGAUAUUGUGUCUGUGUCCUGUACCAACAAUGAGAUUUUUCUCUUAAAGGGAGAUAGAGACAUUAUAAGAAUUUCAAAUAGACCUGAAGGACUGUCAUCAAUAGAUACAAGUCCUAAAUUGCUGACCCCAUCAUCAGUAGUUUCAUCUGUAUCAUCCAGCCCUUCAGUGGAAACAGAAAAAAAAAUGGUUACUUCUCCUUCAGCUACUGGUGAUAAAAAUGGCACUUCUUCAGUGAAAGAUGAUCUGGAAACUCCAACACUAUCAGAGAAAAGUUUUGAUAGAGUGGGAGACUUGAGCACUGAAGCCAGGAAAAGGGGCUGCUCUGUAGUCAGUGAAUCACGAAGCAGGAGCAGCUCUGUGAACUCCGUGGACAGUGGCUCAAGCUUUAUGAUGUGUCCAGACCAACUUCCAGAAGCUCAGAGAGAAGGUCAACUUUCUUCACAACGGUUCAGCACCAUCAGCUCUGAAGAUUUUGAUCAAGAACUUAUUGUAAAGCCAAUUAAGGUGAAAAAGAAAAAAAAGAAGAAACAGGAAGGUGGAACAAGGAGAAACCACAGCUCUCUGGAAGGCACACCAAUUUAUGAGCGUCAGCUUUCUGGUGACAGUCCACAUUCCUUGAAUGCAGACUCCUUUUCCAUGACUUCCAGCAUAAUGAGUGGCAGCAUUGAUCAUUUGAGUACUGGGUCUCCAGAUCAGGAAAGUAUGUUCAGCAUGGAGUCCCAUACAAUCUUGCAAGAAGAUAACGGUUCAGAAACUUUCAGUGUCCUGCAGUCUCCUGAGUCAGCAAACGUACUGAUUAAUGAAGAAAAUGGAGAUGUGGCUGAUUUACAGAAGCUUCCAAACAGUGACAGUGGCAUGGGUACUUCAGCUGUUAUAGAUACUUUGACAUCUGCAUCUCCUCUGAUGCUUACAGAAGACUUGACAAGCAGUGUUGGUGGUGAAUGUAAUGGUGGUGUGGUUUCUGCAAGCAAUGAAUGCUGUCCUGGAAAGCUGAGCCAGGAGGAGGAGGAGGAGCAGGAUUUUCCUACAUUGUGUAAAAUAGAUGAAGACUUGGAUAAAAUGAAGCUGCAGGAGACUGAAAAAUCUUCUGAAGAUCCAGACCUUACAGACCAGAUGUUUUUGGAAUGUGACAGUAUACUUGGUGUCCAGACAUCUCUGACAAAGGAAAGUGAUGAAACUGGUGAGGAAGACCAACAGCAGCUCUCUCUAAUCCACAGCGCUCUGUCAGACCCUUCUGCACUCCAGUGUGACAUCUCUGACAAUGUUCAUUCAGAUAACUCUUCCAUUUCUGGGUGGAAUUUUGAAAGUGCAAUCAAAGCUAAGUGUAGUUCUAGCACUGCUGAAAGGGUAGCAGACACUCAUGAAAGUAGGACUGAAAAAUCUGCCUCAAGUGAUGAAGAGGAUAUUUAUGGACAUGGAUUGCCAUAUUCAUCCUCUGAGACCAGCAUGCCUGAAGUUGGUGCUGUGCCUGGUGCACAGGAUGUAGCCAAGAUAAGCCUAGAUGAAAUGGUGCUCUUAAAAUCUGAUCAGUUUGCAGAGAGCUGGAUGGGAUACUCUGGCCCUGGAUAUGGCAUCCUGAGCCUGGUUGUCUCAGAAAAAUACAUUUGGUGCCUGGACUACCGAGGCAGCCUGUACUGCAGUGCCCUUCCUGCGGCCGGCCUGCGCUGGCAGAAGUUUGAGGAUGGAGUCCAGCAAGUGGCAGUUUCCCCCUCAGGGACUCUUCUCUGGAAGAUUGAACAGAAGACUAACAAAGCUUUUGCUUGUGGAAAAGUAACUAUAAAAGGAAAACGGCACUGGUAUGAGGCUUUACCCCAGGCUGUAUUUGUGGCUCUAAGUGAUGACACUGCCUGGAUUAUCAGAACAAAUGGAGAUCUGUAUCUGCAAACAGGCCUGAGUGUGGAUCGUCCUUGUGCCCGAGCAGUAAAGGUUGACUGCCCUUAUCCACUGUCACAGGUCACCUCCAGAAAUAAUGUGGUGUGGGCUCUGAGCGAGCAGCGGGCCCUGCUGUACCGCGAGGGCGUGCGCAGCUUUUGUCCUGAGGGAGAGCAGUGGAAGAGUGACAUUGUCAGUGAAAUGCAAGCUUUGGAACCAGUGUGCAUAACCCUCGGCGAUCAGCAGACACUGUGGGCUUUGGAUAUCCAUGGCAAUCUCUGGUUCAGGACUGGUAUAGUUUCAAAGAAACCACAAGGAGAUGAUAACCAUUGGUGGCAAGUAAGCAUCACUGAUUAUGUCGUGUUUGACCAGUGCAGCCUGUUCCAGACCAUAAUCCAGGCAACUCACACGGUGGCAACAGCAGCUCAGGCACCUGUGGAGAAGGUGGCUGACAAGCUUCGAAUGGCAUUUUGGUCACAGCAGCUUCAGUGUCAGCCCAGCCUCCUUGGAGUUAAUGGCAGUGGAGUCUGGAUCUCUUCAGGCAAAAACGAAUUCCAUGUAGCAAAGGGAAACUUAAUAGGCACGUAUUGGAAUAAUAUUGUGCCUCGUGGUACUGCUUCUGCCACAAAAUGGAUUUUUGUGUUGGCUUCCCCAGCUUCGUCUAAAGAAGGAAGCUUUUUGUGGCUGUGCCAAAGCAACAAGGAUCUGUUUUGUGUCAGUGAUCAGAAUCCUCAUUUUCGUCCUUCUACGGUGCAGCUACCACCAGAGGCUGAAAUGGUGCACUACUCUGCCUGCCAGGAUGCCAUUUGGGGCUUGGAUAGUCUCGGGCAGAUAUUCAUCAGAACACUUUCCUCCAGCUGCCCAACAGGAAUGCAUUGGACAAAACUGGAUCUCUCCCAACUAGGUGGUGUAAAGCUGAUCAGCUUGACCUGUGGAAAUCAGCAUGUUUGGGCCUGUGACACCAAUGGUGGCAUUUAUUUCCGUGUGGGAACUCAGCCUCUUAACCCGAGUUUGAUGCUUCCCGCGUGGAUAAUGAUUGAGCCACCUAUACAGUUCUCAGCAGACGAGCACUGCUUGACUUCGUUUGCCAUAAAAGUGUCACCUGCAUUUUGUGUGCUUUAGGUAAGAGAAACUUUUGAUUUACUGCUCUUCCCAUAAACAGCCUGGUAAUUGUGUCUCUGUACUUUAAGCUUGAUAGGUAAGAGAAAUUCUUAUAGGUAGUAGAAAUUCUUAUCGAUGUAGGAGGAGCUAUUUUUUUAUUGCACACAGACUUCCAAAAAACUAAAUUAAGGCUUUUCAUGCUUUCACAGUCAUUCAAAAAAUUAUUAAAACUACGAAUCAAAUGGUAGUUUAAAAAUGCCAUUUAAAAUUUAGGCAAAUUAUCUGUAAUUCUGAAAAAUCACUACAGGAUAGAUUUAACUUCUUUUCAGUACCUCACAUUGAACAUAUGUCAAGAAAAGGUAAGGAGUUGGUUGUGCCUUAAAGAUGAGUGUUGACUUGUUAGAAAUGGUUAUCAUCAUCUUUGUUUUGUUUCCUUUAUUCAGAUAAAAUUCUGCUUAUCUUACAGAACACUCAUUGUGAAUCUGGGGACUUUCUUCUGCAUCUGCCUUGCUUUUGCAUUUCUCAGUGAGAUUUAUGUUGUUAUUAAGGCCAGUUCUGCAUUAAGUAGUACUUAGAGGAGGAAGUGGUGAGCAGCCCUCAAGUUCAUAUUUUGCCAUUAAGCUGAAAUGCAGGAAGGGUUUGUUUGGAAUGAUCUUCAAGAAUUGAAUAUUUAGAGGGGAAGGAAAUUUCACAUGCCUGUUCUUUCCAAGUCCAGUGGUUUUCACUAGCACAGACCAGCUUGCAUUUCUUAGCCAUUGCACAGACAUCUUCUGAGUUACCAUGAGUUCUGCUUUGGAGUGCUAAGAUGAGAUUCAGAGCAAGUAUUAAUUAAUUAAUUAACCAAAGUCUGCUUAGGUUGGAGAAAUAAUACAGUCAGUCAUUAGGCCUGGUUCUCUCUAGACCAGACUAACUAGUCUGUUGUUCUGUAUGUCUUCACUCAUGUGAGGCCUCUGAAGACAUUAAUAGGGAGAAGAUUUUCCUGGAGGACUGCACUUUUCAAGAUGAUGUAGAGAAAAGCUGUUUGGCAGUAGUAAGAGCAGCUGUCUCAAGCCAGUAGGAAUCAACUUGGUCAGCAUUCAAUCAAGUCCAAAUGAUCAGAUGUUGUGGGCAAUUGAUAGCAAAUGGAAUGUCCACGUACGAGUUGGAAUUACAGAUGAAAUGCCUGUAGGCACUGACUGGGAACAU